This 270-nucleotide ribosomal RNA is filed under the name uncultured archaeon. RNAcentral describes it as "partial 16S ribosomal RNA". It matches the Rfam family "Archaeal small subunit ribosomal RNA", at positions 477 to 747 of the family's 1478-position model. The record is from RNAcentral.
CGGCACCUCAAGUGGUCAGGAUGAUUAUUGGGCCUAAAGCAUCCGUAGCCGGCGCUGUAAGUUUUCGGUUAAAUCUGUACGCUCAACGUACAGGCUGCCGGGAAUACUGCAGCGCUAGGGAGUGGGAGAGGUAGACGGUACUCGGUAGGAAGGGGUAAAAUCCUUUGAUCUGUUGAUGACCACCUGUGGCGAAGGCGGUCUACCAGAACACGUCCGACGGUGAGGGAUGAAAGCUGGGGGAGCAAACCGGAUUAGAGACCCGAGUAGUCC